RNAcentral lists this ribosomal RNA (433 nucleotides) under uncultured bacterium. RNAcentral describes it as "partial 16S ribosomal RNA". It matches the Rfam family "Bacterial small subunit ribosomal RNA", at positions 29 to 507 of the family's 1533-position model. The record is from RNAcentral.
AACGAACGCUGGCGGCAUGCCUAACACAUGCAAGUCGAACGAGACCUUCGGGUCUAGUGGCGCACGGGUGCGUAACGCGUGGGAACCUGCCUUUAGGUUCGGAAUAACUCAGAGAAAUUUGAGCUAAUACCGGAUGAUGUCUUCGGACCAAAGAUUUAUCGCCUUUAGAUGGGCCCGCGUUGGAUUAGCUAGUUGGUGGGGUAAAGGCCUACCAAGGCGACGAUCCAUAGCUGGUCUGAGAGGAUGAUCAGCCACGCUGGGACUGAGACACGGCCCAGACUCCUACGGGAGGCAGCAGUGGGGAAUAUUGGACAAUGGGCGAAAGCCUGAUCCAGCAAUGCCGCGUGAGUGAUGAAGGCCUUAGGGUUGUAAAGCUCUUUUACCCGAGAUGAUAAUGACAGUAUCGGGAGAAUAAGCUCCGGCUAACUCCGUG